RNAcentral lists this ribosomal RNA (252 nucleotides) under uncultured soil bacterium. RNAcentral describes it as "partial 16S ribosomal RNA". It matches the Rfam family "Bacterial small subunit ribosomal RNA", at positions 26 to 279 of the family's 1533-position model. The record is from RNAcentral.
AGGACGAACGCUGGCGGCGUGCUUAACACAUGCAAGUCGAGCGGUAAGGCCCUUUCGGGGGUACACGAGCGGCGAACGGGUGAGUAACACGUGAGUAAUCUGCCCUCCACUUGGGGAUAAGCUUCGGAAACGGGGUCUAAUACCUGAUACGACAACUACCUGCAUGGGUUGGUUGUGGUAAAGUUUUUUCGGUGGGGGAUGUGCUCGCGGCCUAUCAGCUUGUUGGUGGGUAAUGGCCUACCAAGGCUUCGA